RNAcentral lists this ribosomal RNA (84 nucleotides) under Apocalathium aciculiferum. Its description in RNAcentral is "partial Eukaryotic large subunit ribosomal RNA". The record is from RNAcentral. Lineage: Eukaryota; Dinophyceae; Thoracosphaerales; Thoracosphaeraceae.
AGGAUUCCCUUAGUAAUGGCGAAUGAACACGGAUCAUCCCAGGAUGGAACUUUGGCGCGUGUACAGAUUCGCGUUGCUGUCUCC